This is a long non-coding RNA of Scylla paramamosain (green mud crab), 1141 nucleotides long. RefSeq lists it as uncharacterized. The transcript has 4 exons. The record is from RefSeq and is a predicted model, not a curated record. Lineage: Eukaryota; Metazoa; Arthropoda; Malacostraca; Decapoda; Portunidae.
UCAAUUCACACAAGCUUUUCAAUGAUUUCACAUUACGCCACACAAGGGACGAGACAUUGCAGUGUAAGCUCCGCCAGGAACAGUUUGAAUUUGGCGCUUCAAUCAGUAACAUCUAGAUACUUUGACAAUUACAGUUAUAAUGGCCUGAGAUUUAUUUUUACACGCUUAUAAUUCUUUAUAUUUAAUUUUCCAUUAGUUUAGUAUAAUAUAAAAGAAGUUGGUGGUUGUUAUUGAAAGGUAAAAGUGUGUUGUGGAUAGGUUUGUGUCCGUACUGUGCAGAGCAGGCCAAGGGAGGACAACACAGUACCAGACGUAACUCAGAAAGGCACUGUGUUCAAAGGGUGCCAUAAACUGUGGCUUCAUUUAAUGUAUUUUGGCAGAACAAGACAGUGACAGGGCCGUGGGUGCCUGCGUGUGCUGGUGCAAGCUUGGUGCCUGCCUGGAGGUGCCUACAGGGCCACCAAGGCUAAUAUUGGUAAGAAACCCGCCAACCACUUGUCCAGCCAGCUAAUUUGCACAGUGUGAUGUAACAGGCGGUAACUGUGAUAGUGUUGUUACGUGUCACCCACUACAACAACAACACAGGGCUGUCAGAGCAAUGGCAACCCUCCGAUCCUGCAAGCAAGUUGGCGGCAGCGAUGGCGGUGGCGGUGGCAGUGGUGGUGAGGUGGAAGGCAGUGACAGAGGGGCAGUACAGGCUGCGGACAUCAAGGAGAAGAACUAUAACCAGUCUGCUGCAUUGUGAUCGUGAUACAGAGAGACCCGAGGAUGUUGCACAACUGCAUGCGGCCCUGAUGUGGAAACCCCCUCCCCAGGAUGCCACACAACUGAUCCACCAGUCUGUAUGUGGCCCUGAUGUGGAGGAAGGAGACUCAAGGAUGCUGUACACUUAAUGACUAAUCUGCAGGAGUCACGACAAAGUUGGUCAAGCAUUGAAGUCUUGCCCCCGUCAAGAGAGGCCUACAUGGAACUUUGUGACUGCCAGGUAUAAUAAUAAAGAUGUCGAUUCUUCCUGAGCCGUCAACAGUGGUGAAGAGAGCCGGAUGGAUGGGGGACCAGGCAACCUCAUACACAUAGUCCCCAUUGUCUUCGAAGGAGUAGAGAGGCUUCGUUUCCUGUAAGACAGCAGAGAGGAUCAGAC